UACGGGAGGCAGCAGUGGGGAAUAUUGCACAAUGGGCGCAAGCCUGAUGCAGCCAUGCCGCGUGUAUGAAAAAGGCCUUCGGGUUGUAAAGUACUUUCAGUCGUGAGGAAGGUGUUAAGGUUAAUAACCUUAGCAAUUGACGUUAGCGACAGAAGAAGCACCGGCUAACUCCGUGCCAGCAGCCGCGGUAAUACGGAGGGUGCGAGCGUUAAUCGGAAUUACUGGGCGUAAAGGGCACGCAGGCGGUUAAUUAAGUUGGAUGUGAAAUCCCCGGGCUUAACCUGGGAAUGGCAUUCAAGACUGGUUAGCUAGAGUCUUGUAGAGGGGGUAGAAUUCCAUGUGUAGCGGUGAAAUGCGUAGAGAUGUGGAGGAAUACCGGUGGCGAAGGCGGCCCCUGGACAAAGGCUGACGCUCAUGUGCGAAAGCGUGGGGAGCGAAACAGGGAUUAGAU
Molecule: ribosomal RNA, 451 nt
Filed under: uncultured bacterium
Lineage: Bacteria
Description: bacterial SSU rRNA
Rfam family: Bacterial small subunit ribosomal RNA
Source: RNAcentral